Molecule: RNA transcript, 4328 nt
Organism: Glycine soja
Lineage: Eukaryota; Viridiplantae; Streptophyta; Magnoliopsida; Fabales; Fabaceae
Gene name: coatomer subunit alpha-2
Exons: 6
Source: RefSeq, a predicted model, not a curated record
AGCCACACUACUUAUAGAAAUUUCAUUCCGAUCUGUCUCGUUGGUAAAUUAACAUAACCAUAGCCAGAUCUCAUCUGAAAAGAGAAGUGAAUAUUCUCCUUCUCUCUUCUUCUCUCCAUACAUACACUUUUAUCGGUGAACUCGAUUUCAUUAUUGUAAUCAGAUCUGAGAGAGAGACAGUGUUUGCGAUUGAGGGAAGAUGCUGACCAAGUUCGAGACCAAAAGUAAUAGAGUGAAGGGACUCAGUUUCCACAGCAAGAGACCCUGGAUCCUCGCGAGUCUUCACAGUGGCGUGAUCCAACUAUGGGAUUACCGAAUGGGGACUCUCAUUGACAGAUUCGAUGAGCAUGAUGGUCCUGUCAGAGGUGUCCAUUUCCACAAUUCUCAGCCCCUCUUUGUCUCUGGAGGGGAUGAUUACAAGAUUAAGGUUUGGAACUAUAAGAUGCAUAGGUGUUUGUUCACUCUUCUAGGACACCUUGAUUAUAUCCGUACUGUGCAAUUUCAUCAUGAGAACCCGUGGAUUGUGAGUGCCAGUGAUGAUCAGACCAUUCGCAUUUGGAACUGGCAGUCACGUACCUGUAUAUCUGUUUUAACUGGGCAUAAUCAUUAUGUUAUGUGUGCUUCAUUCCAUCCAAAAGAGGAUAUUGUUGUGUCAGCCUCCCUGGAUCAAACUGUUCGUGUUUGGGAUAUUGGUUCUCUCAAAAGGAAGGCCGGGCCUCCUGCAGAUGACGUCCUACGAUUGAGUCAGAUGAACACAGAUCUUUUUGGAGGUGUUGAUGCAGUUGUUAAGUAUGUAUUGGAAGGUCAUGACCGGGGUGUCAACUGGGCUGCUUUUCAUCCUACACUGCCUUUGAUUGUCUCAGGAGCUGAUGACCGACAAGUGAAACUUUGGAGGAUGAAUGACACCAAGGCAUGGGAAGUGGAUACUCUGAGAGGACACAUGAAUAAUGUUUCAUGUGUUAUGUUCCAUGCCAAACAGGACAUCAUUGUGUCAAAUUCUGAGGAUAAAAGUAUCCGAGUAUGGGAUGCCACAAAGCGGACUGGAAUUCAAACUUUCCGCAGAGAGCAUGAUCGGUUUUGGAUUCUAUCUACACAUCCUGAAAUGAAUUUGUUGGCAGCUGGUCAUGACAGUGGCAUGAUAGUCUUUAAGCUGGAGAGAGAAAGGCCUGCUUUUGCAGUUAGUGGCGAUUCUUUAUUCUACACAAAAGACCGAUUCUUGCGUUUCUAUGAAUUUUCAACUCAGAGAGAGACACAAGUACUUACAAUUCGACGACCUGGUUCUUCAUGUCUGAAUCAAAGUCCAAAGUCUCUUUCCUAUAGCCCUACUGAAAAUGCAAUUCUACUCUGUUCAGACGUGGAUGGAGGAUCUUAUGAGUUGUAUUGCAUAUCCAAAGAUGGCACAAAGGACAGUUUUGGUAGGGGUGAUACACAAGAUCCAAAGAAAGGUCUUGGAGGAUCUGCAGUCUUUGUGGCUCGGAAUAGGUUUGCUGUGCUUGACAAAGGCAACAACCAAGUCUGUGUAAAAAAUCUGAAGAAUGAGCUUGUCAAAAAGAGUGCCCUCCCUAUUUCUGCAGAUGCUAUAUUCUAUGCUGGAACAGGCAACUUGCUAUGCAGGUCAGAGGAUAGGGUUUUUAUAUUUGAUCUACAGCAGAGGAUUGUUCUCGGUGAUCUUCAGACCCCUUUUAUAAAGUAUGUAGUAUGGUCUAAUGACAUGGAAAGUGUUGCUCUGCUCAGUAAACAUGCGAUUGUCAUUGCUAGCAAGAAGCUUGUGCACCAAUGCACACUCCACGAGACUAUCCGAGUAAAAAGUGGAGCCUGGGAUGACAAUGGCAUUUUUAUUUACACAACAUUAAAUCAUAUAAAAUAUUGCCUCCCCAAUGGAGAUAGUGGGAUAAUUAAAACAUUGGAUGUCCCAAUUUAUAUUACAAAGGUUGUUGGAAACACCAUCUUCUGCUUGGGUCGGGAUGGGAAAAACAAAGCUAUAACUGUUGAUGCAACAGAAUAUAUCUUUAAGCUUUCCUUGUUGAAGAAAAAAUAUGAUCAUGUAAUGAACAUGAUAAAGAAUUCGCAGCUUUGUGGGCAGGCUAUGAUUGCUUAUCUACAACAGAAAGGGUUUCCUGAAGUUGCGCUCCAUUUUGUGAAAGAUGAGAGAAUCCGAUUCAAUUUGGCUUUGGAGAGUGGCAACAUUCAAAUUGCAGUUGCAUCAGCAACAGCAAUCGAUGAAAAAGAUCACUGGUAUCGAUUAGGGGUUGAAGCUCUUCGUCAAGGUAACUCUGGUAUAGUAGAGUAUGCGUACCAGAGGACUAAAAAUUUUGAGAGGUUGUCAUUCCUUUAUCUCAUUACUGGUAACGUGGAGAAACUUUCAAAAAUGUUGAAAAUUGCCGAAGUGAAGAAUGAUGUGAUGGGCCAGUUUCACAAUGCGCUAUAUAUGGGUGACAUCAGAGAGCGUGUUAAGAUCUUGGAGAAUGCGGGGCAUUUGCCUCUUGCUUACAUCACUGCUUCAGUCCAUGGGCUGCAUGAUGUUGCUGAAAGGCUUGCAGCUGAACUGGGGGAUAAUGUUCCAUCUGUGCCUGAGGGAAAAGUACAAUCUCUCUUGAUGCCACCAUCACCUGUAGUGUGUGGUGGUGAUUGGCCCCUUCUUAGGGUCAUGCGAGGAAUAUUUGAAGGUGGUUUUAACAAUACAGAUCGUGAUGCUGAUGAUGAAGAGUAUGAGGCUGCUGAUGGUGACUGGGUUGAGGAGCUUGACAUGGUUGAUGUAGAUGGGUUACAAAAUGGAGAUGUUGCUGCAAUUUUGGAUGGUGUAGAAGUGGCGGAAGAUGAUGACGAAGAAGGUGGAUGGGAGCUGGAAGAUUUAGAGCUUCCCCCUGAAGCUGACACGCCAAAAGUUUCUGUCAGUUCGCGAUCUUCAGUUUUUGUGGCCCCAGCACCUGGGAUGGCAGUUGGCCAGAUAUGGAUUCAGAGAUCAUCUCUUGCAGCUGAUCAUGUAGCUGCUGGCAAUUUUGAUACUGCAAUGAGAUUACUGAACAGGCAACUCGGGAUAAGGAACUUUGCCCCCUUGAAAUCUAUGUUUCUAGAUCUACAUACUGGCAGUCAUUCCUAUCUGCGUGCCUUUUCAUCCGCUCCAGUUGUAUCAAUUGCUGUUGAAAGAGGUUGGACUGAGUCAUCUAGUCCAAAUGUGAGAGGCCCACCAGCACUUCCUUUCAGAUUGUCUCAAUUAGAUGAAAAACUCAAAGUUGGAUACAAGUCAACAACUGCUGGGAAAUUUACUGAUGCUCUUCGCACUUUUGUCAAUAUUCUUCAUACAAUUCCUUUGAUUGUUGUUGAGUCAAGGAGAGAGGUUGAUGAACUGAAAGAAUUGAUUAUCAUAGUGAAAGAGUAUGUCUUGGGUCUGCAGAUGGAGCUGAAAAGAAGGGAAAUUAAGGACAAUCCAGCACGCCAGCAAGAGCUUGCAGCUUAUUUCACCCACAGCAAUCUUCAAACACCUCACUUGAGGCUAGCUUUGCUGAAUGCCAUGACUGUCUGCUACAAGGCAAAGAACCUUGCCACAGCCGCUAACUUUGCCAGGAGGCUACUUGAGACCAAUCCUACUGUUGAAAACCAAGCUAAGACAGCAAGGCAAGUGCUGGCAGCUGCAGAAAAGAAUAUGACUGAUGCCUUACAAUUGAACUAUGAUUUCCGAAACCCAUUUGUAAUUUGUGGAGCAACCUAUGUGCCCAUUUAUCGUGGACAGAAGGAUAUCUCUUGCCCCUAUUGUACUUCCCGUUUUGUGCCAAGCCAGGAGGGGCAGCUAUGUGCUGUGUGUGAGCUUUCAGUGGUAGGGGCGGAUGCUUCUGGAUUGCUCUGCUCUCCUGCCCAAAUUCGUUGAUUUCACUGGAUCAGGAGCGGAUAAUGAAUUUUUGUUUCAGGUCAACUUUUUGCAGUAGAAACCAGCCGUCCAACCAAACCCUAUUUUGCUCAUUUAACACACAAGAGAUGGUUACUUGAUCUUCAAUUUUGUUUGCAUAUUCUCACAUAAGAGUAUCAUCACCAUAAUAGAAGAAAUAGUUGGCUGAGAUGAUUUAGGUUACUCAAGCCUGAUGAAAGUGGUCUAAGGAUUUAGCUUAUAACACGCGCACACAGCAGGGCUGCCCCAAACGUGAGAGUAUUAUAGGAUAAUUUAUUUAUUUUUUGUGGAAGAGGAUAAUGUAAUUUUUUAUUAUCUAGAUUAGUUAAAAUAUAAAUUUUAAGAUGUUUUAACAUUUUUAUGGCUCUUUUAUUUGUUUUUUAUACUGUUAAGAACAUUUAAUAAUGCACAACUAAUUGUUUUUAUGAUGGACAAAACUUCUUCC